CUGCUGGAAAACCACAUUACCCAGUCCCAGCCUCGCAUUUAGAUUUCCUGUAGGCUGUUCAACAUUCUCUCUACAGCAACCCACGGCGCUGUUGUUCUUGGUUGAAGGAACAAGCAAAUAAUAAUUAUGUUGGGUCAGGUUGUACGACGAUUCACAACCUCUGCGGUUCGCUCAUCGCAUUACGGCGAGGGACCAGGACAGAACCUGCCAUUCUCAGUGGACAACAAGUGGCGUCUGCUGGCAAUGAUGGUGGUGUUCUUCGGCAGUGGCUUUGCCUUCCCCUUCAUAGUCGUCAGACACCAGCUCCUGAAGAAGUGAAGUGGCGAUGCAUGCCACGUAACCUCCAAGGUCUGCGCCCAGAACAUAUUUAUCCAGCAGAACUCCAUUCGCUUCGAAGAAUGGAAAUCCCUAAUUGUGUUUGUAAAUAAAGUUCACUCAAAUGUAUAUUGUUCAAAUACGUUUUUGUCCUUCAGUUUGGGUUUCCACUAGAUUCUGUAGCCACGAAGUAAAAAUUGGCUAUUGUAAAAAUUCAUGAAAACAAAUCUGCUUUUUGGUCUUAAUUUAAGGUUAGGCAUAAGGUUAGCAGUGUGUUUGUUUAAAAUCAGAUUUUAAGAAGAUACAUUGUGGAAAUAGGCAGGGUUUAGCCAUGAUUAUGACUUUGUGGCUAUAGAAGUUAGUGACAACCUUGAGUUUGUGGUCCAGACUGUGAUGUCAUGCUUCAGCAUACGCAUCUCCAGAAGUGUCACUCAUGGAGUAAUGAUUUUUAUGGGACUUUUCAGAAUAAUGUAGGUACAAAAUGGGGAGAAGGCAUGUCUGAGACUUUUCUGUUUUGUGCCUACUGUACAAAAAGUUGUCAACUAGGUUUGUUUCCAAGUGGUAUUUUCUGUGUGUAUUUGACUUCAUAAUAUACAAUACCGUUCAAAAGUUUGGGGUCACUUAGAAAUGUCCUUGUUUCUGAAAGAAUAGCACGUUUUUUUUUGUCCAUUAAAAUAACAGAAAAUUGAUCCGAAAUACAGUAUAGACAUUUACAACAUUAACAAUGACUAUUGUAGCUGGAAACGGCUGAUUUUUAAUGGAAUAUCUACAUAGGCGUACAGAGGCCAAUUAUCAGCAACCAUCACUCCUGUGUUCCAAUCGCACGUUGUUAGCUAAUCCAAGUUUAUACAUUUAAAAGGCUAAUUGAUCAUUACAAAACCCUUUUGCAAUUAUGUUGGCCCAGCUGAUAAACUGUUGUUCUGAUUUAAAAAAGCAAAACUGGCCUUUGAGAUAAAAACGGCUGCAUUGGACCUUUUAGGUAAUUAACAUCCCAUCAUGCUUAGGGUCAUGUAUGAAAAUGCUGGGCAGGCCAUUAUUUUGGCUGCCGUGGCUAUGGCCCCAUAGGAUGACAAUACCCCCAUACACAGGGCACGAGUGGUCACUGACUGGUUUGAUGAGCAUGAAAAUAAUGUAAACCAUAUGCCAUGGCCGUCUCAUUUACCAGAUCUCAACCCAAUUGACUACGUAUUGGGAGAUUCUGGAGCAGUGCCUGAGACUGUUUCCCACCAACAAAACACCAAAUGAUGUAAUUUCUUGUGAUAGAGCUUAAUUUCUAAGUAGCGCUAGCUAGUUAGCAUUGGCUUGGGAAACUACCUCUAACAUAAAAUUGGUAUCCAUGAGUUCAUCUGACUGGGGAAGUAGAUGGCUUCAUUGCCAAAAUCCCGAAAUAUUCCUUUAAGACACUUGUUGGUAUUUCCUUUAUUUUGGCAGUUAUCUGUAUUUCCAUGCAGUUGGAGGAGGCUCUAUCUCUCCUGUCUGCCAUAGAGACUAGCUGAAUGCAGAGUUUAUGUCAAAUUAAUGCUUUUUCAACUGAAGAAUGCAGUUGGCCUUUGAGAUGUUAGGUCCAUAGAAUUAUGUCUUGAGGUGUGAACAAAAUUGCUUCAAUUAUAGCAUGCUGCUAGCACACUUUCAGAAUAUUGAAUUACACAAAAGAUGAUUGACUCAGUCUGGAGAAAAAUCUCAAUGUUCACUAAAUUAGAUAAGACUGAUUUAGAUUUUGGGGCUGUCGCAAAAUAAAUUCAGUAGAAGGUAUGGAAAGCCUAGAGGGUUGUUAUAAAAUGGAACUAUUUGUGCUACUGCCAAAAGCCUUAAAUGUAUUUAGUGUUGAAAUUGAAUGUCAAUUUGAAUGCAGGGCAUGAAUCGAAACAUCCAGUUCCCUCUGCUAUAGCUUUAUGGCUGGAAUAGUUUUUGUCUUUCUCACUUGCUCUCUCUGUGUGUGUUCCAUCUUCAUCUGAAAUUCAUUGAAUAACCUAUUUCAGUUCAAUAACCUUCCACCACUGGUAGAAAUAUCCAAGAACAGAAAAGAGAGGAACUGGUAAAGUGUCAUGGGUAAUAUUCCAAAAGUAAGUCAUUUUAAUUUGCCUGUGCUCUAGACUCAUUUUGGGGGUGUGGUGCAGAGUAGAUUUUCAGGCUAAGGAUGAUCUUUUUGGAGUUGUGUGUGUGUCAGCAGCGAGACCGUCACAAAGGGACAUUGGUCAUAAGAAUGAGAAACGACCAGGGCCCUGUUUCCCAAAAGCAUCUUAAGGCUAAGUUCAUUGUAAGAGCAUUGUUAAAUCUCCAAGCUUUUUAACGAAAACAAUCGUUGCUAAAGUUAAACUUGAAAACACUUGUUCUUUACAAGUGUGUGUCGUUGAAUAUUAUUAUUUUUAUUCCAAUUGAGUUCUAUUUUGCUAAUUGUAGGCUACUGUCUUUCACCCUGGAGCUAAAAUAAGCCGUCUCAUUAUUUGCAGCCAUACAGUAUACAGUGAGGGGAAAAAGUAUUUGAUCCCCUGCUGAUUUUGUAUGUUUGCCCACUGACAAAGAAAUGAUCAGUCUAUAAUUUUAAUGGUAGGUUUAUUUGAACAGUGAGAGACAGAAUAACAACAAAAAGAUCCAGAAAAACGCAUGUCAAAAAUGUUAUAAAUUGAUUUGCAUUUUAAUGAGGGAAAUAAGUAUUUGACCCCUCUGCAAAACAUGACUUAGUACUUGGUGGCAAAACCCUUGUUGGCAAUCACAGAGGUCAAGACGUUUCUUGUAGUUGGCCACCAGGUUUGCACACAUCUCAGGAGGGAUUUUGUCCCACUCCUCUUUGCAGAUCUUCUCCAAGUCAUUAAGGUUUCAAGGCUGACGUUUGGCAACUCGAACCUUCAGCUCCCUCCACAGAUUUUCUAUGGGAUUAAGGUCUGGAGACUGGCUAGGCCACUCCAGGACCUUAAUGUGCUUCUUCUUGAGCCACUCCUUUGUUGCCUUGGCCGUGUGUUUUGGGUCAUUGUCAUGCUGGAGUACCCAUCCACGAUCCAUUUUCAAUGCCCUGGCUGAGGGAAGGACGUUCUCACCCAAGAUUUGACGGCACAUGGCCCCGUCCAUCGUCCCUUUGAUGCGGUGAAGUUGUCCUGUCCCCUUAGUAGAAAAACACCCCCAAAGCAUAAUGUUUCCACCUCCAUGUUUGACGGUGGGGAUGGUAUUCUUGGGGUCAUAGGCAGCAUUCCUCCUCCAAACACGGCGAGUUGAGUUGGUGCCAAAGAGCUCCAUUUUGGUCUCAUCUGACCACAACACUUUCACCCAGUUUUCCUCUGAAUCAUUCAGAUGUUCAUUGGCAAACUUCAGACGGGCAUGUAUAUGUGCUUUCUUGAGCAGGGGGACCUUACGGGCGCUGCAUGAUUUCAGUCCUUUACGGCGUAGUGUGUUACCAAUUGUUUUCUUGGUGACUAUGGUCCCAGCUGCCUUGAGAUCAUACACAAGAUCCUCCUGUGUAGUUUUGGGCUGAUUCCUCACCGUUCUCAUGAUCAUUGCAACUUCACGAGGUGAGAUCUUUCAUGGAGCCCCAGGUCGAGGGAGAUUGACAGUUCUUUUGUGUUUCUUCCAUUUGCGAAAAAUCGCACCAACUGUUGUCACCUUCUCACCAAGCUGCUUGGCGAUGGUCUUGUAGACCAUUCCAGCCUUGUGUAGGUCUACAAUCUUGUUCCUGACAUCCUUGGAGCGCUCUUUGGUCUUGGCCAUGGUGGAGAGUUUGGAAUCUGAUUGAUUGAUUUCUUCUGUGGACAGGUGUCUUUUAUACAGGUUACAAACUGAGAUUAGGUGCACUCCCUUUGAGUGUGCUCCUAAUCUCAGCUCGUUAUCUGUAUAAAAGACUCCUGGGAGCCAGAAAUCUUUCUGAUUGAGAGGGGGUCAAAUACUUAUUUCCCUCAUUAAAAUACAAAUCAAUUUAUAACAUUUUUGACAUGCGUUUUUCUGGAUUUUUGUUGUUGUUAUUCUGUCUCUCACUGUUCAAAUAAACCUACCAUUAAAAUUAUAGACUGGUCCUUUCUUUGUCAGUGGGCAAACGUACAAAAUCUGCAGGGGAUCAAAUACUUUUUUCCCUCACUGUAGCAGUGAAGGUUCCACAGAGGAGGAAGGGGAGGAUAAUCCCCCUUGGUGAAUUUAAAAAAGGGUGAUUCUGUGUCAUCGGGGUACAUUUUUAGAAUUUUAUAAAAAAAUAUGUUUAUAUGUUAAGUUCGCCCCAGUUUUUUUUUAAUCACCUCUCUAUCAAGUAUUUUAGCUACUUUUCAGAUGCAUUUUAUACCUCAAUUUUCACUGUUCAAUUAUAGGCAGAGUUACUCUGUGCAGUGUAUGUGUUCUUUUGCCCAUCUUAAUCUUUUCUUUUCAUUGGCCCGUCUGAGAUAUGGCUUUUUCUUUGAAACUCUGCCUUGAAGACCAGCAUCCCGGAGUCGCCUCUUGACGUUGAGACUGGUGUUUUGCGGGUACUAAUUCAUGAAGCUGCCAGUUGAGGACUUGUGAGGCAUCUGUUUCUCAAAUUAGACACUAAUGUACUUGUCCUCUUGCUCCGUUGUGCACCGGAGCCUUACACUCCUCUUCCUAUUCUGGUUAGAGACAGUUUGAGCUGUUCUGUGAAGGGAGUAGUACACAGCGUUGUACAAGAUCUUCAGUUUCUUUGCAGUUUAUCGCAUGAAAUGGCCUUCAUUUCUCAGAACAAGAAUAGACUGACGAGUUUCAGAAAAAAGUACUUUGUUUCUGGCCAUUUUGAGCCUGUAAUCGAACCCACAAAUGCUGAUGCUCCAAAUACUCAACUAGUCUAAAUAAGGCCAGUUUUAUUGCUUCUUUAAUCAGAACAUACGUUUUCAGCUGUUAAAAACAAUUGCAAAUGGGUUUUCUAAUGAUCAGUUAGCCUUUUAAAAUGCUAAACUUGGAUUAGCUAACACAACUGGCCAUUGGAACACAGGAGUGAUGGUUGCUGAUAAUGGGCCUCUGUACGCCUACAGUAUAUAGAUAUUCCAUAAAAAAAGAAUCAGUUUCCUGCUACAAUAGUCAUUUACAACAUUAACAAUGUCUACACAGUAUUUCUGAUCAAUUUGGUGUUAUUUUAAUGGACAUAAAAUGUACUUUCUUUCAAAAACAAGGUCAUUUCUAAGUGACCCCAAACGGUAGUGUAUAUAUUUUACGGAUUUAGUGUAAACUAUAUGCUAGCUGUAAUACUAGCCAAAGCAUGUAUGAAAAGGCUAAGCAGUCUGUUAUUUUUCUCAAACUGUACAAGCGUCAUUUCCAUCACAAACUUAACUGUGGUGGAAAUGACAGAAUGUGGUGGAAAGGACAAAAAUCCAUUGUUAUUAGUUUUAAUUUGUGUUUUUUACUUUAGGGUUAUUUAAUCAUGUUUUAGAUUAAUUUAAUCUAGGAAAUGCUGCAAGGUGUGCAUGAUUUGAAAACUUAAAUUGUAUUUUUCUUAAUUUUUAGAAGAUGCCACAUAAAACAGCACAGAGGUCACAGACAUAGAAACAAAAUAAAAAAGACGUCCUAUAUGAUACCAGGAACAUCUGCAAAAGACAGGGAGAGAUACUGUAAGAAAAAAGAGAAGCGAGAAGUGAAAUCCAUUUCUGAGUUUACAAAGCGAGAACAAAGAAGCUAGAGAAGGCAAUGGAAAGACAACUGACGUAUUAGAAUACAGACUUUAAAGAGAACAGGUGAAAUGGACACCUGUCUAUCAGGCAACACACCACGUCAGUCACCAGAUGACUAGAAGCCAGAACAUGAUGCCAACAUACCUGCCCCAAACUUACCUGUCCCUUAUGCACGCUCUGAUACCCCUUCCUCAUAGUCUGCAACAGGAUUGAGAAGUCAAAAGCUUGCUGGAAGGUUGGAAGAGGUCUUUGAGUUUUACGGAAACCUGAGAAAUACGGGGAAAAAGUAUGAUCAACUGAUGAAGAAAAUGGAGAGACAACAUUCCCCAAAGACAACGUGAGCAAGACAAAGGAGAUGAUGGAAUAAAGGAAAAGGAGGGCCGAACAUGCCCUCAUUCACAUCGACGGGGCUGUAGUUGAGCGGGUUGAGAGUUUCAAGUUCCUUGGUGUCCACAUCACCAACAAACUAUCAUGUUCCAAACACACCAGGAAAGUCGUGAAGAGGGCACAACAAUGCCUUUUCGCCCUCAGGAGACUGAACAAUUUUGUGCGGGUAGCCAGAUCCUCAAAAAGUUCAACAACUGCACCAUAGAGGACAUCCUAACUGGUUGCAUCACCGCCUGGUAUGGCAACUGCUCUGUUUCCGACUGUAAGGCGCUACAAAGGGUAGUACGUACGUCCCAGUACAUCACUGGGACCAAGCUUCCUGCCAUCCAGGACCUACAGUUGAAGUCGGAAGUUUACAUACACCUUAGCCAACUACAUUUAAACUCAGUUUUUCACAAUUCCUGACAUUUAAUCCUAGUACAAAUUUCCAGUCAGUUAAGAUCACCACUUUAUUUUAAGAAUGUGAAAUAUCAGAAUAAUAGUAGAGAGAAUUAUUUAUUUCAGCUUUCAUUUCUUUCAUCACAUUCCCAGUUGGUCAGACAUUUGCGUACACUCAUUUAGUAUUUGGUAGCAUUGCCUUUAAAUUGUUUAACUUGGGUCAAACAUUUCGGGUAGCCUUCCAGAAGCUUCCCACAAUAAGUUGGGUGAAUUUUGGCCCAUUCCUCCUGACAGAGCUGGUGUAACUGAGUCAGGUUGGUAGGCGUCCUUGCUCGCACACGCUUUUUCAGUUCUGCCCACAAAUUUUCUAUGGGAUUGAGGUCAGGGCUUUGUGAUGGCCACUCCAAUACCUUGACUUUGUUGUCCAUAAGCCAUUGUUCCACAAGUUUGGAAGUAUGCUUGAGGUCAUUAUCCAUUUGGAAGACCCAUUUGUGACCAAGCUUUCACUUCCUGACUGAUGUCUUGAGAUGUUGCUUCAAUAUAUCCACAUAAUUUUCCAUUCCUCAUGACGCCAUCUAUUUGGUGAAGUGCACCAGUCCCUCCUGCAGCAAAGCACCCCCACAACAUGAUGCUGCCACCCCCGUGCUUCACAGUUGGGAUGGUGUUCUUCGGCUUGCAAGCCUCCCCCUUUUUCUUACAAACAUAACGAUGGUCAUUAUGGCCAAACAGUUCUAUUUUUGUUACAUCAGACCAGAGGACAUUUCUCCAAAAAGUAUGAUCUUUGUGCCCAUUGUCAGUUGCAAACCGUAGUCUGGCUUUUUUAUGGAGGUUUUGGAGCAGUGGCUUCUUCCUUGUUGAGCGGCCUUUCAGGUUAUGUCGAUAUAGGACUCGUUUUACUGCGGAUAUAGAUCAUUUUCUACCAGUUUCCUCCAGCAUCUCCACAAGGUCCUUUGCUGUUGUUCUGGGAUUGAUUUUCACUUUUCGCACCAAUGUACGUUCAUCUCUAGGAGACAGAACGCGUCUCCUUCCUGAGUGGUAUGACGGCUGCGAGGUCCCAUGGUAUUUAUACUUGCGUACUAUUGUUUGUACAGAUGAACGUUGUACCUUCAGGCGUUUGGAAAUUGCUCCCAUGGAUGAACCAGACUUGUGGAGGUCUACACUUUUUUCUGAGGUCUUGGCUGAUUAUUUUGAUUUUCCCAUGAUGUCAAGCAAAGGUAGGCCUUGAAAUACAUCCACAAGUACACCUCCAAUUGACUCAAAUGAUGUCAAUUAGCCUAUCAGAAGCUUCUAAAGCCAUGACAUAAUUUCUGGAAUUGUCCAAGCUGUUUAAAGUCACAUUCAACUUAGUGUAUGUAAACUUGAAUUAUAAGUGAAAUAAUUUGUCUGUAAACAAUUGUUGGAAAAAUUACUUGUGUCAUGCACAAAGUAGAUGUCCUAACCGACUUGCCAAAACCAUAGUUUGUUAACAAGAAAUUUGUGGAGUGGUUGAAAAAUGACUUUUAAUAAUUCCAACAUAAUUGUAUGUAGACUUCCGACUUCAACUGUAUAUACUAGUCGGUGUCAGAGGAAGGCCCCAAAAAUGGUCAAAGACUCUAGUCACCCAAGUCAUAGACUGUUCUCUCUGCUACCGCAUGGCAAGCGGUACCAGAGCGCCAAGUCUAGGUCCAAAAGACUUAACUUCUACCCCCAAGCCAUAUGACUGCUGAACAAUUAUUAAAAUGGCCAGUGGGACUAUUAACAUUGAUCUCCCCCCCCCCCCCUUUGGUCAACACUGCUCUACUCGCUGUUUAUUAUCACUUUACCCCUACCUACAUGUACAAAUUACCUCAACUAACCUGUACCCUGCACAUUGACUCAGUACCGCUACCCACUGUAUAUAGCCUCGUUAUUGUUAUUUUUUGUUAAUUUUUAUUUUUAACUUUUGUUUAUUUUGUAAAUAUUUUCUUAACUCUAUUUCUUGAACUGCAUUGUUGGUUUAGGGCUUGUAAGCAUUUCAUGGUAAGGUGAAUACCUGUUGUAAUUGUCACAGAAGAGAAAAUCACUAGAUUCUAUGACUGUGAUGACAACAGUAGAGCAACAACAGGGAAAAAGGACACACUAACGAGCAAUAAGAAAAUAAAGCAGAAGCGCUUCUUGAAUGGCACAAUUCAGAACCUUUAUCAGAAAUUUAAGAAGGAAUUUUCAGAGAUUAAAAUGUCCUACUAUGAAUUCUGCAAAAGACGUCAUUUUUGGGUUGUCAAGCCAACAGUCCAGGAUAGGGACACAUGCCUCUGCAAAACCCACGCCAACCUCCAGUUCAUGGCGGACAAACUACAGUACGACAAAGUGAUCUGCUGCAGCAACAUUGAGACCUUAUUGAGUGUUUGUGCUGUGAGAACCAGAAGAAAGAGUGUGUCAUGACGCUAGCCCUUUCAGUGAAUUGGCUAGCAGAGAUGUGAACAACCCCCCCCCCUGUUAGGAUGGGGGGUGGGGGGGACAGUUUUAUGACUACAACCACGUCGUAAAUUCCUUGCAGAGACUUGUCUCCCUGACCAUGCAGUAUGGGAGAGAGAGGGUCACAGUAGAACAAAGGAACUCUCCCAACAAAUUGUACUACACCCCAGAAUUUGAGAAUUGAACAAUAUUCCAAUUUUGGAGAAUGUGUAAACGGUCGGUGGAGAAGCCAGCUACGACCCGGUCCAUUUAGUUUCAUGUUUGUGACCUCAUGAAAGACAAUACAGCCACAUUACCCUACCUCUGUUUAUACAAGGUCCUCAAUUAUGAGGCUUGCAUCUAAAGGUUGGAUAAAAAAUUUGACUAAGUAUAAUAAUACUUUUGAAAAGAUUACAAUGUGAUUUAAGUCUUCUAAAGUGAAAAGUGUUUGUUUUAAUGGUAACUCGUGUCCAGCCAGUGGACACGCCCAAGUGAAAAGACAUUGGUUGGAAAUGAUGAACCAACCCCUUUUCCACAUUUCUAUAAAAGCCUCAUGACUCAAAGUCACCUUAGUUCCAAAUACCGUGAGGACAUUUAAAAGGGCUAAUUCUAAUUUCAACUCUAUAGGCCAGGAAACGUGAGAGCUUGCUCCACACGUGAAAUGGUAUAAACGCUGAACUAUUGAUCACCUAAAGAAGAAGUGCAUACUAAACUAGCAUAUAUCAGACUGCAGCUGAACAUAUGUGCAAAUCUAGUACGAGAACACUGACCAACGAGGAAGCAUCUGCAGAAUGAGAUGAAUCUCUCAGACCACGUGAACCUCUCACACGACGACCCGGAAGAUUCCACAAAGGACGAGGGCGACAUCGACUGGGCAAACCAGAGCGUCACAUCACCACCUCAACUAUCGAAGCCAGCUUCAUGUAAAUACAAUGCAUUGCUUUUCUGAAUGAGCGGCCGUUUAGUGGCAUAUAUAUAUAUUUGAGAAUAUCUUCCCAGGUCCUUAGUCCUCCUUCCAAAACCCCCUUCUCUUCUCUCUGAAUCUAUCGUGUUAUAACCAAACUGUUUCUGUUUAGUCCACUAGGGACAGUAUUUACUGUAUAAUGUUAUUAUGUAUUGUACAUUCUGUAAUUGUUUAAUUAGUUAGUAAUAAAUAAUUGAGCCAA
This 10249-nucleotide long non-coding RNA is filed under the name Salmo salar (Atlantic salmon). Its description in RNAcentral is "lncRNA (ENSSSAG00000108162.1)". Lineage: Eukaryota; Metazoa; Chordata; Actinopteri; Salmoniformes; Salmonidae. The record is from RNAcentral.